GAGUUGAGUUGAGUUGAGUUUUCUGCCCUGCUAAUAGAAACCUAACGUUGGGAUGUUUGCUAAGCAACUUCUGAAGUUGCAAUAACCAAAAUGCUAUUUUCUAGAUGACUUUUAUCUUCUCUCCAAAUACGUUUCAAGAUAUCUAUCACUGGUUUCUCUUUCAUCUCCAAAUAAUUGGAUUGGUAUUUAUUGCUUAUUUCAAAUGCUUAGUGAAAAGCAUAAAAAGAUAGAAACAUAGUGAUAAUGUCUAUUCUUAUCUUACUGAUUUAUUUGUAAAUAUUUAGAAACCAGAAUGAAGCUGAAAGUGGUGCAUGCAGAUGUGUGAUUUUAUUUUCUUAUGAAGUGUGGAAACAAGAAAUUUUAUAAAAGCAUACCACAUUUCCUCGUACAAUGGAUCCCCUAUCUGUCUUUGAAAUUGUGAAAUGGUGUAUGAAAUCACCGUUAAUUCUUGGAACCUUUGCGACCUUUUGAUUUUUGUCUUGGUAACUGUUGAAAAUGUAUUAGUACCAAAAUAUUUGGAGUUUGCUUCAGUCAUUACAAGUGUUUCUUAAUUAUUGUUGGAUGACAGGAUAUAAUAACUUCUUGUGGGC
RNAcentral lists this unclassified non-coding RNA (590 nucleotides) under Hevea brasiliensis (rubber tree). The record is from RNAcentral. Lineage: Eukaryota; Viridiplantae; Streptophyta; Magnoliopsida; Malpighiales; Euphorbiaceae.